GUAAGGAAUAUUGGACAAUGGACGCAAGUCUGAUCCAGCCAUGCCGCGUGAAGGAUUGACGGCCCUAUGGGUUGUAAACUUCUUUUGUAUAGGAAUAAACCCUCGUUCGUGAACGAGGCUGAAGGUACUAUAAGAAUAAGCACCGGCUAACUCCGUGCCAGCAGCCGCGGUAAUACGGAGGGUGCAAGCGUUAUCCGGAUUUAUUGGGUUUAAAGGGUCCGUAGGCGGAUCGUUAAGUCAGUGGUGAAAUCCUACCGCUCAACGGUAGAACUGCCAUUGAUACUGGCGAUCUUGAGUAUGUAUGAAGUUGGCGGAAUGUGUGGUGUAGCGGUGAAAUGCUUAGAUAUCACACAGAACACCGAUUGCGAAGGCAGCUGACUAAUACACAACUGACGCUGAGGGACGAAAGUGUGGGGAUCAAACAGGAUUAGAAACCCCGGUAGUCC
RNAcentral lists this ribosomal RNA (446 nucleotides) under uncultured bacterium. Its description in RNAcentral is "bacterial SSU rRNA". It matches the Rfam family "Bacterial small subunit ribosomal RNA", at positions 354 to 796 of the family's 1533-position model. The record is from RNAcentral.